AUCCGGGUAACAGCAGUUGGCGCUGUACUCUUGCUUUAACUUUUUUUUUAUUGGUGGAAGCUGUGCAUUUGUUUAGCUAAUAAAUUAUAAAAACUGUGUACAACAGUUGUGUACAAUUGUUUAAUUAUGUCAUCCUGGUUAGGGUUGGCCUGAUUGACGAUGCCAUCGUCCAUCGCCGAUAGCUGAUAGACAUCACGAUGCUGCGCUGGCAAACAGCGUCAUCAGCUCCAGUAUCUCGCCCGUGCAUCUGUUGUCAUGCGACAGAGAAGUCACGUUCUAUAGAGAGUUUCUACAGACAGUUGUGAACGUGCUGACAGCUGGUUGCCCAGGCUAUGGAUUAAAGGUAAUACUGUUGGCCAGCAGAGCCCUGCUCACCCUGACGGCCCACCGCUGCUGUCAGACAACAUCUCAAAGAUGCUAUAAACUGCAGGACUAGUAAGUACAAACUUGAACAUGCACAACUGUUUCAUAAGUUUGGGAAGGUAUGGUUUUUUUUGUGUUUUUGAAAGUCUUUUAUGGCAACCACAGUUUAAUAUAUGAAAUGAAAACAGUUCACUACAAUUUAAAAUAAGUUUUCUAUUUGAAUAUAUUUAGAGAAGUCAUUUAUUCCUGUGAUGGUAAAGCUGGAUUUUCAGCCAUCAUUACUCCAGUCUUCAGUGUCACGUGAUCUUCAGAAAUCAUUCUUAUAUUCUGAUUUGCUUCUGAAGAAACAUUUCUGACUAUUAUCAGUGUUGAAAACCGCUGUGUUCCUUCAUUUUUUCAGGAUUCUUUGAUGAAUAAAGUUUUAAAACAGUACAGUGUUUGAAACAGAAAUGUCUGUUUUAACUUUUGAUAAUUGAUAAGACAGUGAUAAUAAUUGAAAAUGUUUAUUGAGCAGCAAAUCAGAAAGAUUUCUGAAGGAUCAUGUGACACUGUAGACUGGAGUAAUAAAAAUGAGCUUAGAUCACAGAAAUAAAUUACAUUUCACAAUAUAUUCACGUAGAAACUGUUGUGUUAAAUUGUAAUAUUUCACAAUAUUACAGUUGUUUUACUUGCUUUUGAUCAAAUAAAGGCAGCCUUGGUGAGCAGAAAUUUUUCUCCAAGAUGUAAAAAAAAAAAAUUGUACUGACCCCAAACUUUUUAACGGUAGUAUAAAUUAUAAAUUACAAAUAUAAUGUUCCACCUACUGAAAUGUAUAUUCCAUUCUAAAGAGAUGCCUGUUCCACAAAUAAUACAUUUACAGGGAUCACGUGAAACACUUCAUCAAUAAACUGAUUUUUGAGAGCAUUAGUGGCAGUGUGUCGAUUUUUGUUUAUUGAUUGGUGAAUUGGAAGUGGAUGUGCGUUUAUUAAACCUACUUGUGAUUAAAUCAGAUAUAUAUAUAUAGCAAAAUAAGCUCAAAUUGAGGCAGCAGCAUCUAUGGUGCAUGGCCUGUAGUGAGGUCACUAAAUUCUAAUACCAAGAAUUUAUCAAAGUCCACUAAAGGAAGCAAAACCUUUUGGUAUUUUACUUUGAAAAUAGCCUUCCAAAUAAUAUUUGGGGCUCGGACACACUUUUUUUUGUUGUUGUUUAAAUUAAAUUAAAAUACAUAGUUUAGUAUUCACACAACACAUCUAAUAACCAUGCACUCCAGUUAUAUGUGAUUAAAUAAAU
Molecule: long non-coding RNA, 1632 nt
Filed under: Carassius auratus (goldfish)
Lineage: Eukaryota; Metazoa; Chordata; Actinopteri; Cypriniformes; Cyprinidae
Description: lncRNA (ENSCARG00000068222.1)
Source: RNAcentral